GUGAUGAGGCCAGGUAGACCAGGUUCAAAGUUAGCAGGUGAUGAGGCUGGGUGAACUAGGUUCAAAGCCAGUGUGUUCCCUUGGGGGAGCUAUUUAACAUCUCGCCCUCUCAUUUCUUUCUUCCUAUGGAAGAUGCAGGAUACUGAGAGUCCCUGGUUUCAGGGUUAACAGCAUAGACUCCAUCAGACUGCCUGAGUUUGAAUUCUGGCCCCACCACUGCUUGCUGUGCGGCUUUGGGCAGGUCACUCGACUCUGCCUCAGCCGGCUCGUCUGUAAGCUGAGAUUGAAUAGUACCCGUCUCACUGGGGUGUUGGAGGAGGAUAAUAAAGGCUUGGAAUAGUGCAAGGCGGACACUAAGUGCUGUGUAAGCUUUUGCAUUAAUGAACCACUGAAAGGGGCGUUACAUGAUAAAAUGGAUGUAAAAUGUGGGCUCAGUCCACUUUAGUUCUUUUGCUUAUUAACCUUGGCAGAGAGUAAACUCUGAUAAUUUGGCCUGAUUUCCCAUUAGAUGUUCCAUUUUCCUGUUAAAACCAUCAUCAGCAAAUCAGGGGAAAUCUUGGUGCUCCUUGCCACCCAGCAAGAGAAGAGCAUUGGGCUUCAGAGUUAGACUAGACUUUUGAAUCCUGGUUCUGGCAUGCACUAGCUGUGGAAUUUGCCCCUGCGUCUUAGCUUUUUUUGGUCUGAGCAAUGGGAAUUAGGAUGCCGGGAGGGUGAGCCAGGUGUGUAUGGCUGUCUCCACUUUAUUGAUGAGCAAACAGGUUCAGAGAUUUGCCCACGGUCACACAAUUAGUAAAGAGCCAGCUAGAGCCUAGAAGCUCUGCAGACUGUGCCCAGGAUUGUUCAGGAGUCCCUCUGUUACUCCAUCAUGCUGCUGCUCUGAAAUAAUGGUCUUUUUUUUCUCACUUUCAAAGUCCAGACAUCUUCCUUAAAGAGUUUUAACCAGGCAGUUCAAAUGACGUCGUCAGUGGAGAAGAAAUUUCUGCUGCUUCUAUAAAUGCAUGGUGUUCUUUUAGACCUUUCUUAAUUGCACCAUUUGGGACUUUUUCUGCAAAAGCAUUUAGUUAUUUAGUUCAUGAAGCUAUAUUUAGUGAAAAUUGCAACUAAUAAAGUUGCGGGGCACCCUUAUUAUAUCUUGAGGCUGUAGCUCUGUUGUUUGAUGACAUUUGUAAAGCGACAAUAAAUAUAACUUACAUGUUUUGUUUCAUUUACUUCUCUUUGCAGGUAUCUUUUGUGGGGUGUGAAAAAUUGAAAUGAGAAAUCUGGUUUUACAGAGGAGUUACUGCUGUUUAAAAACAUGGUGUUUGGCGCCAUGACAAAGCUAUUUGAAGCCCUGAAUGAUGACGGUCCAUUGAGAAUGAUUAAGAAUGUGCUAAAAAUUGUUUUACAGAUGGAUGGUGAAUUAUAGCGAUUGUUCCUAAGUUUAAGCGACACAUUUUGUGGUUGUAGCUUAAAAACUUGUCACGUUGAGAUACUAGGUAGCAUUAGUUACUAGAAUGGGAAAAUAACAUUUUAAUUUGUUAUUUAAGUUGGUUGGAUACAAAGAAAGUUCCCAGUCAUCAUGACUUUCAAUUCUUGAUCUGUUAUUGUCAGUGAUCCAAUUUGGAUGAAACUAUUUGCAAAGGACAGCUUCAGUUGGAAAAAUGGGCCUUUCAAAUGUUGUGGAACGUUUGUGCUAGAAGCAUCCUUUUAGAGGACUGAUGGUCCAGUUCAUUCACUAAUGAUGGGGAGCCUGAGGCUCAGAACAAUGGCUUCCUUAGAACCUAAACGAGGAUGUUGAAUAAUCUCAUGGUAGAGAUAUGGUUAAUAAUAUCUUAACAAUUGCAGUUCUUGCUCACCUUUACUUCUUAAAGAGGCUCAGUUGUGUGUGUUUCACAUCGUCAAUUGUGAUGUGAAAACCAAGGCUCAGAGAGGUUAAGUAAUUUAUCCAAGGUCACACAGCUAGUGAGUCCUGGAUCCUUAGGUUUUCUGGAAUUCUAGAAUAUGAUCUUUAAGAAAAACUCUAGAAACUGUUUUCUAAUUUAAACUAAGACUUCCAGCUUGAUUUUUUGCCAACUUUCUGUCAUUUCCAGUUAUCUGACCAUACAAUAGAAAGCCAACCUCGCUGAGUAUUUUAGGACGAGGGUUUCUUUUUAGAGAAGGUGGGAGAGUUGAGGUAGUUACAGGUAAAUCUAGCCAUCUCUCCCUUCUUAAGAAGAUGUUCAGGAAGAAGCAAGCAUAAAGCCAGUUGAUGUGUAAGUUCAUGGACUCAUGAAACGAAAGGAAGCAAUCACGGACCAUUCAUGAAACACCUGCUCUGUGCCCUUCACUCGGCUGUGUAUAAACCCUGUAUAAACCCCUGAUGUUGAUGAGCCAUAGGUCCUUUUCAGGAUUUAUUGUCCCCUUAGGCAGCAGGGGUUCCUUCACCUGUGGAAGAAGUGGCAGGAGCCUGGGGAGUUUUUUGCUGGUCCAGUGCGGGAAGUCGAUGGGGAAGCCAGUCUUGAAUUCACCUUCUAAUUCCAAGACCAGGGUUCUUUGCCCUGCCCCACAGUUACGUGACCAUAUGUUUCUGUAGGUUUAUAUGCAAUAUAAAUCUCCAAUCGGAUGGCUGGGGAGUGCUUUUUCUGGCUCUGUGGCUUCAGCUGUCUGAAAGGAAUGCCUUUCAUAAACAUGGGGAGGGAAUUGCAUUUUCACUUUGUGAUAAUUCAUGUUGCACUAGCGGGAAAGGUCAUUAGCGUGGGGAAUUCCACUAGUCCCUGGAGCGGUGGGUCCUAAAUGAGUGGGCCUGCCCUCCGACAGUCACAUUUUUUCCCUUUGGGUAUUUAAUACCACAAGUGUGGUUUCUUUAUUUUAUUUUUUUUUUUUGAGAAAUUUCAUGAAUGAAAGUUUAGAACUCAAAAGAAAGGAAAAAUAAAACCUCACCCAUAAACUCAUCAUUCUUAAAUAGCUAUUGUUAGAGUUUAUUUUUUUUAUUGUGGUGAUAUACCCAUACAUACAAUUUACCAUUUUAACCACUUUUAAGUGUCUGGUUCAGUGGCGUUAAGUACACUCACGUUAUGCAUGUUCACAUUUUCGUACCACCAUCCUUUUCCGAAACUUUUUCAUCUUCCCAAACUGAAACUCCACACACAUUAGACAGUCACUCCCCAUUUCUCCCUCCCCAUAGCCCCUGGCAGCCACCAUUCUACUUUCUGUUUCUGUGAGUUUGACGAUUACAGAUACUUCCUAUAGGUGGAGUCAUACAGUACUUGUCCUUUUGUGGCUGGGUAAUUUCACUUAGUGUAAUGUUUUAAGUUUCAUCUAUAUUGGAGAAUGUGUCAGAAUGUGCUUCCUUAUUAGGGCUGAAUAAUAUUCCAUUGUGUGUAUAGACCACGUUUUGUUUACCCAUUCGUCUGAUGAUGGACACUUGGGUUGUUUCCAUAUUUUGGCUAUUGUGAGUAAUGCUGGUAUAAACAUGGGUGUACAAAUACCUAUUUGAGUCUCUGCUUUCCAUUCUUUUGAGUAUACACCCGGAAGUGGAAUUGCUGGAUCAUAUGGUAAUUCUGUGUUUAGUUUUUUUGAGGGACCGCCAUACUGUUUUCCAAGUUGGCUGUACCAAUUUACAUUCCCACCAGCAAUGUACAAGUGUUACAAUUUCUCCACAUCCUCGCCAUUACUUGUUAUUUUCUGUAUUUUGAUACUGGUCAUGCUAAUGGAUAUGAAGUGAUAUCUCACUGUAAGUUUUGAUUUGCAUUUCCCUAGUGAUUAGAGAUGUUGAGCAUCUUUUCACGUGUUUAUUGUUAGUAUUUUACAAUACUGUCGUUAUUAUUUAACAAUAAUACUGUUAAUAUUUAUCUUCCCUGUGUUUACCUUGGCAUGUUUUUUUUCCUCUUUCCUGAAUGUAGGCAUGGCCUACACUAAACUAUGUUCAGUAUAUUCCAUAUCGUCCACCAUCAACAGGUUUAGUGUCGCAGCAAAGUGUGAACGUCUAUCUCACACUUACCCAAUUGGUGAUGUAUUUGGUGAUAAUUCUGACCAGGCCAAGUUCUUCUCCUUAGGAAACCCAAGCUCAUUGGGAUUUUAGCAGCCAUCUGUCGGUAAUACCACGGGGCCAUGCACGUUGUGAAGACUUCUGGAUUUCAAGUAAGAGGCCCUGGGUUUUAUUACAGAGUGAAAGGAGGCUUAGGACCAGUUAAGACUCUUCUUUAAAUGCUGAUGCCCAGAGGGUCAGGAACAGCCUGUCUGUGACGUGUAUGUCCCAGGGACUUGGACCCUUCAAUGAAUGGGUUAAUUGCAUAGCUUCGAUUUCAAAGUGGAAAGCGGGAUUUGUGGGGUUGAGCACACCCUUCUUCUCCACGACGGUGUUCUAAACUUCCUUUUGUCUUUUAUUUGAAAUCUGGAGAACGUUUUUCAUAGAAACAAUGUUACCGGGGUGACCGUUUCCCAGGAUACCUCUAAAGGCCAGGGAACCCACACGUUCCAUUCACUGGAGCCAGCCCGGCACGUCGGCAAGAUCAGACUGACGGAGUUUGCACCUGGCUGAGCCCCGCCCCUCUGAGUCCAUUUCCUCGUCCAUACCACAGGGAUAAUACUGCCUGGUGUGCAUUGUUGUUGAGAAAAAGAAAAGCAGUGAUUAAUGACUGUAUCGUAUCCUAAGCCACAAAUUUGGUGACUUAAAACAAUGCUAGUUUAUUCUCUCCCAGUUCAGCAGCCAGAAGUCCCAAAUCACUAUCACUGGUUCCACAUCAAGCUGUGGGCAGGGCCACACUCCCUACGAGGCUCCAGGGAGCAUCUAUACCUUUCCUCUUCCAGCUUCGGGUGACUGCUGGCAUUCCUUGGCUUGUGGCUGCGUCACUCCCAUCUUUGCUCUGUGAUCACGUUCCUUUCUCCUUUUCUCCGUGCGUCUUCUCCUCUUAUAUCUGUGAAAUCCCCCUCUGCUUCCAUUUUAUUAGGAUACAUGCGAUUGCGUUUUGGUUAAGAUCCUUUUACCAUAAAAGGUAGUAUUAACAGAUUCUGGGGUUUGGGCUCGGGGAAUAUCUUUGGGGGAUAUAUUUUAGCCUUCUACUAUGAGGAAUAAUAGUAAUAGUAUUCUCCACCAAUGUUUUUAUGUGAUGGGAUUGUCUUAAAGUUCUUUACACAGAUCCCCUGAGAUCACGGGUGGAGCAGGGAACAGUUAUGGUCUUAACGGCCACAUGGUGAGUGUUUAAGCCCCUGGCACAAGACAGAAGCCCAGUGCAUACUAACUUAGUAUAUUUAUUUUCUUUUCCUUUUUUUUUUUUUUUGAGAGGAAGAUUGACCCUGAGCUAACAUCUGUUGCCAGACUCCCUCUUUUUGCUUGAGGGAGAUUGUCCCUGAGCUGACAUCUGUACCAGUCUUCCUCUAUUUUGUGUAUGGGACUCCCCCAUAGCAUGGCUUGAUGAGCAGUGUGUGGGUCUGUGCCUAGGACUGAAGCUGUGAACCCUGGGCCACGGAAGUGGAGCGCAUGAACUUAACCACUGCACUGGUGGGCUGGCCCCUAACUUAGUAUAUUUCUAAGAAUUUUCUGCUACACCACCUUGACUCUUGUUCGUUUUUUUUGACUAACAUCUGCUGCCAAUCCUCCUCUUUUUGCUGAGGAAGACUGGCCCUGAGCUAACAUCCGUGCCCAUCUUCCUCUACUUUAUACAUGGGACGCCUACCACAGCAUGGCUUGACAAGUGGUGCCAUGUCUGCACCCGGUAUCCAAACCAGUGAACCCCCGGCCGCCAAAGCAGAAUGUGCGAACUUAACCGCUGUGCCACCGGGCCAGCCGCUCUUAUUGGGUUUUAUUCUAAGUUCCUUUUGUGCAUCUUUUCUUCUUCUCUUUUUUAUCUCGAUGGACCUAGUUGUGUGGGUACCAACAGUGUUUGUUUUGAGGGUUGGGACUUGGGAUCACUAGCUCGGAAGAGGCAGGAGGAUGCCAUACCGAAUCUUGCGGGUUCAUCACACUUGGGGAAAACCCUUCCUUUAGGAGCCCAUGGGGGUGUUUCAAGUCUACUGUCCCUGUGGAGCCUGUGGAGACCUCUUCCGAGACACAAACUGGUGUCAUUCCUAACUUUUCCUGAGUGUGUUUUUACCUGCCCAAGGAAUCUUGCCCCGGACAAUGGCCAUGACCAGGAGCCUUGCUCGUUUUUGAAAUCCCUUGCUCCAUGGAAAUUCUGACCGAUUCCAGUUUCCUUCUGCAGGAUUCCUGAGUGUUGCUGUCAUUGCGUGCCUGAACAUGGUGGUGGAGGUUUGGGAGCCUGUAAAGUUGCUGAUUUCACACUGCCCUUGCUGGUUCUAGAAGAGGCUUGUUAGGUUAAUUCAAUGAGCAUGGGUUUGUUGGGUGCCUGGCUUGUGCUAGGCGCUGAAGGACUUGCAAAGAUGGAGCUCCUAAGCUCAGUCGGUUGAGGUAGAAUCAAGUAUUGAUGCCAGUGGGUGCCAAGCUUCAGCGGGCAUCAGAAGCACCUGCAGGGCUUGCUAAAGCCCAGGUUGCUGGCCCAGAGCUUCUGAAGCAGCAGGUCAAAGGUGGAGUGCCAGAAUUUUAAUUCUGAUGCUACUGGUCCGGGGCCCACACUUUGAGAAGCGCUGUGCAAUGAGGUCAUGGAGGACAGAGUAAUUAACAACCCAGAAGGCUUUGCAGAGGUGGGAGUUUUCCAGGUGGUCUUAGAAGGAUGGGUUGGAUUUUUUUUUAGAUGGACAAAAGAAGAUGGGGCAUUUUAGGCAAACGAGGUAUGUGUGGUUGGGUAGGGAAUGGAAUGGUGGGUCAUGAUUUUGGAGGGGGGCUGGAUAUCAAAGAAAGGGGGAAGGUAGAGAACAAGGUGUAGGAAGAUUUUUUCUUUGAGGGCACAGGAAGCUUGGGCUGCUGUGAAAGUGUAGUCGCUACAGAAAGCUAAGCGUGCCCCUUGUCAAAGAGUUGCCAAACCAGGCCAGACCCUUCUGCCUGCUUCUGUGUCAGAAGCUCAAAGUGGGUUUGGAAGCUGCAUGUACAUGUGUGAUAGAAAUAACGAGAGUUGGAAGCAAGAAAUCAUGUGACUCUAUCUUGCUUUCCGUCUCUCCCCAUUUCUAACCCAGGCUUUCCACUGGAACAAAGUCAGCUUUGUCCUGUGGUCCCACCCAGCUGCAGGCUCCAGGAGGCCUGUUUCUUUUGCAGUGAGAGGGACCACACCCAGCCCUGCCGGUGCGCGCGGGCUCUGCAGUUCAAAUCUUGGAGGACUGGAGGAUUGUGGUUGUGUCAAAAUUGAAAUCAAAAUGAGUUUUUGACUUUCUACCUUGUAACUUCACAUUUUUGGCAGCCGCAUUCCUGACCCUGAGCCGUUGGUGGCUCACCUUUAGAACCCUAGAAGCAAGAACCUAGAAUUUACAACUUCUCUCGUUCAACCAGUUUGGUUGGAUAAUUGCCUUUUCAGUUGAAAACAGUUUUUACUUUCUUUAGUCCUGGGUUUGCAUUACGUUUUGGGGCGAACGUCUUUGAUGCUACAGUCGGUGAGUUCUUAAUUUCAACUCUCAGAUCAUGAGGUGGAAGGAAUCGGGGAGACGGUGAGAGGAGGGUGGGGUCAGAGCAGCUUUUGAGAUACAAAGGAUUUUUUUCCCCUCAGAAAUGUCCCCCUGUGGCAUUCCUUUGGGAGAAUGUGCCGGAACGUUGUUUUUGCAGGCAGGUCUGGUUUGAUGUAAAGAAAACAACGGGCAGGCGUGAUUCCUAUACAAGACACUCCUUUAAAAUAAAUUCAGAAUUUCACUCUUCCAUUAAAGGUGUGGUCUGCUUUCUAAGGAGCUUAUUUUGACAGCCUGAUUCCACUGUGGAAGAAAUGACUCGCCCUGAGAGAGGGUGAGAGUUUAUGGGUUGCCCUCUUGGGUGGCUAUGCUGCAGUGAUGAAGUUUGCAUUUUGGAAGAUGGUGGCGUUGACACUCACAAGGAAGUCUGCUUAGUAAUGAACAUGGGCAUCUGAGAUAGUGAGAAAAUGGACUAAGGCGUCAAUUAAAGCAUCGUGGUCUAGUGGGUUGAUGGCUCUGUUCGAGGUGUUAAUGUUAUCAGAAGCCUGACCUCCACAUGUUCUGGAAGUCAUCAGGUUGGACGUGAGACAAGGAGGAGGCGGUGCAGGGUCCUCAGCUGACCUGGGAUGCUUUUCUUGAUUGUGCGCUGGACACAUAGGAAGAGCAUUUCCCCCACCUCAAUCCGCAGUUGGCCCUGAUAGUAAGUGUUUCCCAUUUGUGGUUGAUUCAUUCUGAGAGCUUUUCAUGUCCUUGGGGGUUCUUCACUGUUAGAUUUGAGAAGAAAAAGGACAGCUUCUCUUUUAAGUCUGAUGAAAACCAUCUGAGCAAGACGUGUGUACAUAUGCUGUGGCUUUCUGCUUGUCUUAUGGACACUCAGCUCCUCCCCCGGCUCUCAGGAAAUCCGUAUGAGGAAGGGAAUUUUUACUUUGGGACCCUUAGAUCCUGUGUCCUAAUGUUACAAAGAAAAUGAAUUCUGACCACUUUUGAGGCUUGUCAAAGUUUUUUCUCUGCAGCUCUGGAAUUUUCUCUCGUGUGCUUUCAGAGUGGCCAAAUCCACGGGCACCUGGGAGCUUUGCUCUGGAGAGAUCCGCUGAUGUGGGGAUGAAGUGCAGAGGUGAGGAGUCAGGUCAUAACUCUUCCAUCAGGGCUUUGCCGCCUGCCCAGUGUCGUGUUUGCAGUCCCCAUGAACUUGGAAAAAUGCUCCCUGAGCACUGCUCCCAUCCACCGGGGUCGUUGUGCAGAUUUCCAGAUGUUGAACUUGUGCAGGUGACGUAACCCCAGCUGGUGUUGCAGGGGGGCUGGCUGAGUCAUGCUCACAACUUUGGGAUUUAGAGGCAGGAACUCCAUGGAGGGAGAUGGUGCCUGGUUAGUCUGUUGGCAUGUUCUUUAAAUCCUGGGCCUUCCCCAAGACUGAGGUCCGGCCUUGGUAUCAGGUAUAAGCACCCAUGUGAUGAGGGGACUGGCCAGCUCUAGACAGUGCCUUUCACCAGCUGUUGUUGAAGAAGCAGAAUGAUUAUCUAUUUUAUAACAUCCCUUUCUCAGGGGCUCAAAGAUUGGGGCAUGGUGUUGGGGAGAAUGGCGUAGUCUCCAAUGAGAUGUGCAAGGAAGAUAUAGGAGAAUGGGUAACGGGAGACCUUCCCACGCAGACACAGCAGUAUCUGAGCAAAGAGUGUUAUGAUAUGGGUUAUCAUCCUGUUUCUGGAAAAGAGCAGGUGAAACGCACAUUCUGGUGCUGCCCAAUCCUGCAUCACCUACAGACUUAUACUUGUACCCAGGAGUUGGCAGACCACAGGCUGCAGGCCCCAUCUGGCCUGUUACCUGUUUUUGUAAAUAAAGUUUAUUGGAGCAUGGCCACACCCAUUCAUUUAUUUCAGUGGCUGCUUUUGCGCUUUACAUGGCAGAGUGGACAGAAUGAAUGGAUCCCACAGCUUGAAAUAGUUACUCUCUGGCUUUUUGUAGAAAGUUUGCAGACCUUUGCUCUUUAUCCACCUCUGUCCAGACAGUGAAAUCUAGGGCAUCUCCUUUAUCGGAAGAUCUCUAGUUUUUAACAUUUGCUGCUUAUUAUUAUUUCAAAUUCAGCUCCUUCUUGUUCUUCUCCUCUUUGCUCCUGGAUUAUUUCAGGAGUCUCAUUUUCAGUGGGUGCUGUUUCCUUCUCGAGGAUAUUUGGAUUUUUGAGAUGGAGGGCUUUGAUGAUCGGGAGCUACCACUGGUAUUGUGGGGGGCUGGCAGAGGUUCUAAAUAUCCCCCAGCCGGCAGGACAGCCCCACAGUAAAUGGCAGAGUGUACUCACUCGGAGAACCACUUACCUGGUUUUUGUUUUUUGUCCAUAAUUUAAAGUUUUUCAGGAAAUUUUUGUAACAUCUCCUAGCAAUGAGGUAGUCCUUAAUGCUUCACACUCCAGAUGCUUUCAUGCUUUGUGUACCUUAUUUUCGUUGCUAGCAGACGCAGGAAACCAUCAGAUAACUGAUCUGCCUGACAGUGACAUGGAGAAGUCACUUCAGUGCUCUCUCUCCCCUCUUUCUCUGUCUCCCUCUCUUACACACACACAUUUGCUCCUACAUCCUCAGUGCUGCCUUCUGUCAACCCUAAUGACUCUGCUUUAGUCAAUUUCCAGGACAGAAUGUUCCUUUCAUUUCUGUUUUGUGUGGUGCUGGAGAAAACUUGGAUCUCCUUUUUGUUAUCAUAGGAAUCACCAGCCUUUGUAAAUCCUGCUUAAAAAAAUAAAAAGUAGGGGCCAGCCUCCUGGCUGAGUGGUGAAGUUUGUGUGCUCCGCUUUGGCAGCCCAGAGUUCACUGGUUCAGAUCCUGGGUGCGGAUCUACACACCCCUCAUCAAGACAUGCUGUGGCGGCCUCCCGCCUAGAAGAACUAGAAUGACCUGCAACUAGGAUAUACAGCUAUGUACUGGGGCUUUGGGGAGAAAAAAAAAGAGGAAGAUUGGCAGUAGGUGUAAGCUCAGGGCCAAUCUUCCUCACCAAGAAAAGUAUUCUUAAAUAAAUAAAUACAUAAAUAAAUAAGUGUCUCCUUAACUCUUUGCUCCCUCAGCCAGUCCUCUUUGCUUCUGAGACCCGGCUUAUAGCUUUUAGCCAAAGGAGGCCAGCUGGGCUCCCCCACCAAAGAGGGAGGCUGGCUGGGGGAGAGAUGUUUCCUAUAGCCCAUGACAGCAGCAAGGCCCCCGAUGAGAGACAGAGAAAGAGACAGGGGUGUCAUUGUUGGAGGGAAGGGCAUAGCAGUGGUCCCAAGGAGAGUGGGGCUCAGGGAGGGGUGUGGCCAUGGCCUAUGCCUGGAGUUAAGAGUGGAAGACUGAUGAUGCUUGGCAUCCCAGGAGCACGAAGUCAGUGCGGAGUGACAGUGGACCAUAGAACCUCCAUCAUUAGAGAGAUGUGGGCGCGGUAGCUGGAGUAGAGGUGGGCAGCCUGUGAGAGACAAUUCGGUUUUGAGAUUUCCAGGGAGACUCAAGAAGGAGACAGUCUUGAGCUUCUGCCAUUUGGGACGGGGGUGAUGGAUGUGGGUCAGGGUGCAGGACUAACGUGUUUGAGACAUCCUUAGGACCAACCACCCUGGGUGAAACCUAGGGGACGUUCAAGUGACACAGAUGAUGGGGUUUCCAUGGUGUAGAGCAGUGGUGCUCAAACAUCAGCGUGCAUCAGUCAGCCCCAGCCCCGCCUCUAGGGUUUCUGAUGCAGUAGAUCGAGAAUCUGCACUUCUAACAAGUUCCCUGGAGAUGCUGAUGCUGCAGUUCUGGGGACCACGCUUGGAGAGCCACUGGCCUGGUGUAAAAGAGAUAAACAGUGAAGCCCAUUCGUGUCCGCCAAAUGGAACUAAGAUAUGAUUCUAAGAUGGAAAAUAAAGCUGAUUGUAUAUGAAGAACAGUAAUUUGGUCCCCAUCAGGUUGGUUACCGCAUCAGAGUUCCUAAGUUCUAGAAAAGGUUAAGUUAGUUUAGCCAAAAUGCUGUUGAGCAAUAACAUGAUAGUGGAGACUUUCUUUACAAUCUAAUUGCUCUGUAUUUUGGGAAUUUAUUCACUAUAAACAGGAAGAGUGUCUCAAAACUGAGUUUUGGCUCUUUGUAAUUUUGAAUCCUGUUGGCUGACUCAGUAACGAGAUUCCUUCAUUUGAACUUUUAUGUAUAAAAGAAGAUAAUCCAAGGGCCUUCUUUCACUAUCUGGGUUUGUCCUCCUCAAUAUCAAGUUGAUAGACUCUCAUUUCUUCUCUUUUUAUUUCUGAUUAUAACAGAUACUUGAUAGAAGAUUUGUACACAAAUGUAAAAAUAACUAAAAUAUAAACAAAAAAUGCUCAACAGACAUAUAAUAAACAGCGUAACUGUAUGCUUCAAAAAUAUUCUGAAUGAUCUGGAAAUAGACUCUAGGUCUUUAACAGAACUGCUGUCUUUGCCGUACGUUAGGGUUUACUCUAUGUAAGGAAGGAUACAUAAGAGCCCACCAGUAGCCUUUUAAAGCAAUUGUGCAAAUUUCUGAAGAGCUCUUAGUUAUUUCUCUGUUCACAUUAGGCAUGUCAGUCAUUCAUUGAGUCCUUAAAAAUCCUUAUAAGGAUUAAUUUGCGUGCAAGUGACUCAUUUGAAAAGGAAAGUGUUGAAAAUCUUGACCUUGCAAUCGGAGCCUAUUCACGAGGGCCAGAGCUAUUGACUUUCUUUCGGUUUUGCUCAGCGGAUCCAUUUAGUCCUGUCUCAGCCCCGGUGGUGGCAAUAGGGCAUGGGACUGAAUAACACUUUUGGAUCCUUUAGAGCUACGUUUAUUCACAAUUUGUUGGGAUUUUGGCCAAGGCUCUCCAACUUUCCCGUGUUUGGGUCUCACCAUCUGUGAACCCCAUUGAUGUUGUAUAAAUUAAUAAAGUGCUCUGUGAGCCCAGGAGGAGAGACUUUUGGGGUGCCAAGAGGAAUCAUAAUAAAUAAUAUUAAACAGCUCCAGGGAUUUUAACAAUAUUUACAAUUUUGGCUUCACACACUUGGGGAUUUGGAAGCGUUUUUAUAAAACCGCCUUGGAAACCAUGCAUCAGGCUUCUUUUGUGCGAUUGGCAACGUUUCAGAAACCACAAGGAUGCCUGCUUCUCAGAGUUGUUUUAAUGGGAAUUCUGUCCAUAUGGGUGAGAACCUGCCUCCCCGUAAGGCGUUUUUUGCUGAGAAUCCCUCCUUAAUCCCAGCGAUGUUGGUGGCUGGUGACCGUGAACGUAUCCUCUGCGGAAGAGGGACAAGCAGGGGAAAGAAUGAUGUGGCUGGUGGUUUCGGUGUUAUUGGGGUGGCUGGUGUUUUCAUAGAAUUAUCUGCAGAACUUGAAAAACUUGUCUGACGGAGCGGGCGUUGGGAGAGACUGUGCACUGUUUUUGGGGAUUUGUUGAUUUUUAAGGUGGAAGGUGAACAAGGGAGGGGCAGGGCAAUACAUACCACUGUGACGCUCGCACGUCUGCUCUGUUAGGGUUUUGUCCAGACCUUUAGCGUUCUCAAUCUUAGAGCUUCCCUAUCUGUGACUCACAAAUUCUACUGUCAACGUUCAGUCUAGGAGCUGAAAAAAGUGUUUCUUCGGGCCGAGGACACCAGCAUGGCCUGUUCCUUUUCUGUCCCCAUAUUUGGUAACAUGUAGGUUCUUCCAGAAGAAUAGCUACACCUUGUUUUAUGUUGGCUUAGUAGAGUUUGGGACCUAGGACUUCAAUAAAGGUUUAUUGCAUUAUUAAUAGUAAUAAUAAUAGACAGCAGUUUAUUGUGUUAAUAUUAAUCAUAGACAAGCUUAUUGCAUUAACAAUCAUAAUGAUAGACUACACUUUAAGGGUGCUCACUACAUGGCAGGCGCUGUUCUGAACCCUCGCUGUGUAUUAACUUAUUUAAUUCUCAUGAGAAUCUUGUGUGGCAGGAUCCUAAUCCUUUUAUUAUCUCCAUUUUACGGAUGGAAGCUGUGCCACUGAAAGUUUAACCAACUUGCUCAAGGUUAUUUGGGUAGCAAAUGGUGGAAUAUAUAUCCGGGUACACUAGACGGAUUUGAUCCCUCUGACAUCAAAUUCUUUGUUCUUGGUCAUCGCGCUAUAGACCCAGUACUCACAAGUUUGAUAGAUUAUAGAGAUGUCUGGAUUUUGUCUUGGAAACUGCUCAAGAAUACCAACAUCAGGGGAUAAAAUUUUCUUUAAAGAUGGUAACUCUUAAGCCAGGAAACUCAAUUUGUGUUACCUGACACUUUGAGAUGGGGUGCGGGGUGGAGAACGAGCUAAAUAGCUGCUCGGGCCGUGGUCUCCAAGGGGGCUCGCGUGUUUGUGUAUCUUCGAGAAGAGUUUAGGAUGGCAAUCUCUUUGAGUACUUCUUGUGUUUUGAAUUCUGUAGGAGACCAGUUCUUCGGACUUUUAUAGCUAAACUAGUUGAGGUUCAUUCGAGUUAAUCUUGGGAAGACAGAGGUGAGUUUUGUGGGUGAGAGAUUCUGCUGGUUUUUGCUCUUCUUAAUGUCAUCUUUAAAUGUCUCUUAUCUGUAUUGCGUGUGUGUUGGGGCGAGUGGGCUAGAAGGGGGUAUCAGUGGCAGGGCAAAGCACGGAAUUCAGUAGGGAACUGCCCCAUGGUGGGAAUAGGCUGAAGAAAUUAACUUUCUUGGACUUCUCGAAGAGAGUGUGAACUCUGCUGGGAGACGUCGCCUUGCUGCUGCCCCUCCCAGGACUGAGGUGAUGUGUUUGUGGAAUUAUAUCUACAAGUUUUGAGGUGCAAUAUCAAAGUAAUAGAAUUUAGGAGGAAAGGGGAACGCUAAUGGGAGCAAAAUCCUGCAAAGCUCGCUAUAAAUGUGAUAAGUGGCUGUUCUUUUUCACUUAAGUAAUUAUAGACUCACAAGAAAUUGAAAAAUAAUACAGAGAGGUCCUGUGUACCCAUCACUCAGUGGUGACAUCUUGCUUUAACUGUAGUGCAUUAUCAAAAGUAGGCAACUGAUGUUGGCACAGUGCAAUUAAGAAGACUGCAGACCAUACUGGGAUUCUGUCAUUUUUUUGCAUGCAUUGUUUUUUGUUUUUUUGAUAGUACUUACUAUAUGUAAUUUGACCAGUGUUUCCUGAUGGCCAGGAGAACCUCUGACUAAGGCUGUAAUAAAUAUUUUACAGAUACACGAUUUUCAGCUGAAUGAUGUUCGCCUCAGUGUUUUUAACAUGGCAAACGGUUGAGUGGCAUGUGAAGUCUGGCAGCUGAGUUACGAAACAGAAACCAAACCAUUUGGUUAUUUUCAUUUAUGGUCCUGAACUCUUCGGGGCUACUAUCGUCAUUUUUGUUGCCUUUUCAGAGGGAGGGUAUUUUCUGGAGAGAAAGGAUAAUGCAAGGUCCUUGUGUCAUAGUAAGAUCUCUCGGAGGGGAUGAUAAACAGAUGUUGUUAUCCCAGGAAAAGGGAGGGAUUUUGAUUAAUCAGAUAAAAGGUAUGGACUGAUGGGACUCAAAGAUUGUGGAUGCAAUUUCAUGAUAACUGUUAGAGUGGAUUUACUUUUAAAAUGACAGCCCUGGAUGCUUUGGGGCUAAAUGUCGGCUGCUGCGCACUGUGAUUAAUUGCUCCUGCCUGUGCCAUCCCAUCACCCUUUGCUGAGACUUCCAAUUAGCCUGUGUCACUCUCUGCCCUGGAUUUGAGCUGUUUGUGGGGGUGCCUGUCUUCUCAGCUAGACUAGGAAUUCUUUGAGGGCAGGGACUGUCUAAUUCAUUUUUUGGCUUUUCUCCUCCUCCCUUUCUCCCAGGAUCAAGCAAGAUUAGAGCAUAAUAAGGGCUCUCUAUUCCUUUGCUUCUGGCAAUUUCCAGACCAUUCCUCAUUCUAGGUUCACUUCUUUAUGUAUUUACCCGGGCUUCUGUUAUGUGUAUUUGAGACCAUUAAGUCUUAAUUUAUGAUUGCUAAUUGUGUAAUUUGGGGCAACCAUGGGUCAGGCUGGCCUUGUUCUAGGGUUCUAUCAAACAGCAUUAAAACAGCCCGAGAGUUUGGUAGAUUUUGUUGUUCAAAAAAGCAGUGGGAAGUUUUUGUUUGUUUUUUCCCUAUAGUAUAAAAAUUUUUAAAAAGUAUAUUCAUUUUUUAUACUUAACUGUUAACACCUGGGAUAAUUAUUUAAAAUUCUUCUGCCUCAUGGCUGCUUUUUGGGGUUGGGCUUUUAAGGAUGUUGGCAAUGGUCUAUGAUGAUGACCUCUCCAACCGUCAGUGGUGCUGGGGGGGCCUUGUCUUCUGUGAAACCUACAGGAAGAUAAGGUUUUCAAUCACCUUUUCUAACACGAAGGGGAAAUACUAUGUCUUCGGGAUCACUUGGUUAUAAUGAAAUGGAAAGACGUUCUCGAAUAAACUCAUAUAAAAAUGAUGCUACUGAAGGGAGAGGGGGAAAUGCCGUGGGCAAUCAAGGAUCUGCAGGCCUCGUGGGGAAGGUAGGAAAGUCAGGGAGGGACACCGUUCUCCCAUUUUUCAGAGGCCCGCGUACUUUGUAAUUUUUGGUUUCCUCUACGAAGCUCUGCUCUUCGUUUGCCCCUGUGGCAGACUAGCUUUCUUGCUUUACCUCUAGCUUCUCAGAUUCUCAUAUUUACUGCUUGCCAAAUGGCCUUGACUUGGUAUAAUGUUGCUCUAGUCCAAUACUACACAGUCUUUCCUUAGAUAACAUCUUGGCCCCCCAGUGUCUCAAUUCCAAAUUAAGGGAGAGUCUGUUUGGCCCAUACUGAGUCAUGUUUCCACCUCUGGUGCUGGAAUGAAGGGGUCAUAUGUACUUUGGGUGGUCCAGACUCGUCUAGGCAGGCUCUCAAGAAGGCGGAGUUGGUAGGAGGCAGUGAUUGGCAUGGCUGCCAUAUCCCAGUCAAGGAACAAUUCAGCAUUGUUUGUAUUUGGCUCUGGGUUGCAUUAGGGAAAAGGGCCCAUUCCUUUUUGGCCUUGUCUUACUCUCCAGCUUUUCCCCGUUGGAAUUUUAGGUCUAGACAGUAGAAGGAGGAAGAGGUGCAGGAGUGCUGUAGUCUGUUUGCAAGUCAUGAAGAGUUGGUUACUAACACUAAUUCAAAACAGGGUUGGUUGCAUACAUAACCAGUCAAUAUUUAAUUAAAAAAAUACUUUCAUUCAUGCCUUUGAAUUAAAUUAAUGCAUUUGAAUUUCUCUUUCUAAUGCACUUGUUUACUUUUUGAGUUCUUAACAUAGACUUAAAAAAAUACAUAUUCAUUGUUCAGAGAUGCCACUUUUACAGCCAAGAACUUCUGUUGUAUGUUGAAGUCUUUGGAUGAGAAGGGGACAGCGACAGAACGGCAAGAAGGAGAAGAGGGGUAGGUAAGACCUGAAGGACUCAUUGCCCCACUAACUAGCUAUGUUACCUUGGUAACUUAGCGUUUUUCUUUUUGGUUUUUUUUUUGUGUGUAAGGGAGAUUGGCCCUGAGCUAACAUCCAUUGACGAUCUUCCCCUUUUUUGCUGAGGAAGAUUGUCCCUGAGCUAACAUCUGUGCCCAUCUUCCUCUAUUUUGUAUAUGGGAUGCCACCACAGCAUGGCUUGAUGAGCCCUGCUAGGUCUGUACUCAGGAUCUAAACCUGCCAAUCCUGGGCUGCCAAAGUGGAGCGUGCGAACUUAACUGCUAUGCCACCGGGCUGGCCUGGUAACUUAGUUUUUUGAAACUUGGUUUCUUUGUCUUUAAAAUGGGGUAAGAAAAGUAUCCAUCUCAUGAUGUUGGUGAGAGGAAUCAAUGAGAUAAUGUAUUGAAAGGUACUUUUAGGCACUUGGGAUGUCCGAAUGAACAAAAUAUACAAAGAUCUUGCAAAAUGCAUGAAGAUCUUUCAGUAAUUGCUGCCACCCCUCUAAUUUAUAAAUAAAAAAGAGUGGCAUCCUGACCUUUCCUUCCAAUUCUAAAAAAAUUUAAGUUUUUUAGAUAGGACCAUGCGGCAGACAGGUGCGCUUAUUGUCUUGUGAAAAUUAGGGUAUGUGAGUGCAGGUGUGUGCAAGUCCACGAUCAGGAGCCAUUCAAAAUCCAUGAAAAUAUCAACCUUCUUUGAAAAAGUUCCGUUUUUCAAGGCAAACAUUAAGUGAGCUUUGUUUGAGUUAAGGGAAUAAAUAAAACUUGUGGGAGGCAUUUAUGAGCUGAUAUCUUGGCUUUGAUGACCCGGGGAAAGACAUUCCUCCUUGUACAGGGGGUAACUCAUUUUGCUUUUAUGAAAUCAAAGUUAAAAAUCUUAAUGGGUUUUAAUAACCCCAAAUGUCAUGUUGAAUUUAAGUUUCAGUUAAGUCGGACAGUUUCAGAUAACACCUCUUUGUAAUUGCUAUGGUUUACUCAUCUCUUGGGCUAUAACAUAUACCUCAAGACAUCAGAUCUUCCAUUUGUAAAAAUUUCACAUUUUGCAACCUUUGUGGUGAGAAACAGAAACUUUUAGGGACAGGCUCUUUUAGAUGGAUGGAAAUAUUUUUUCCUCAGUGGAUCCACACAAGUCAUUCCAGCAGCCAAAGGAAGCAAUUUCCUUUCUUUGCCUUGGGAUUUGAACAAUAAUAUUUUGUAUACAAUUAUUUAACUUAGUUGACCUAAACUUUAAUUUAUUCUUUGUUUAGCAUUUAUAGAUUGUUAUAUUAUGUGCCCUAAAUUCAAGUCAUUACAAUUUGAAAUGGUCCAAAGAAUUUAAGGGUAUGCUGGUUGAAAUUUUCAAGAGAGAAUUUAGCCAAGCUAGUACAAAAAAAUAAUUCCAUCGCUUUACCGACAAAUCGUAUGUAUGUCUGUGGGGGCAUCAAUGUCAUAUGUAAGAUGUUCAAGGAAGAUCUGUAAUAAUAGAAAGUUGCUACUCUUUAUCCUACAUAGUGUUAGUGAGUAAAACAACCAAUUUCAUCUUGUGGGGUUAACUUUGGCUUUGGUGUUCUUUAGUUCUUCAAAGAGUGUCUAAUUGUUUGAGAAGAGACAGAGCUUAGUAACAAGAGAUGCUGAUGUUUACAUUUCUCUUUCUUCUUCAUCUGUUACACAGAACAAGUGAUCAACUCCAUAUUUUCUCAUCACACUAAAUAAUUCCCCAAAAUGGCCAAUGCUCUUGUUAGUGUAACUGGUCAUCAUUUUUCUUCUUCACUGAGGUAAUCUUCAGACCCCGGGAACAAUGAAUGUUGCUAUGAGGCCCGUCAAGUCCUGCCUGUAGCAGGAAUUCAGCAAUGACAAUGCUUCCACCAUUUAUCCAUGUGCCCGACCACGUGCUUAGGCAUUUGAAUAUGAGGGAGAAUAGAAAAGAUGUGGGCUACUUCCAAGGGUUAUAUUAGUUUUCGUUUUUAAUGGAUUAAAAUUAUAUGGUGGUUUAUUUAAAAAACCUGCACAUUUCCAUCAGUAACGUAAACCACUGCCCUUGUGUGGGAAACUGGCCAGGACUCCCUCAGGCCCAAUCUCAUCCACAGUUAUUCAUUGAGAGGGACGGCAUAAAAAGUAAGGUUGUUUAAAAAUUUUCCAUGCCAUUCUGAAAACAGGUGCUUCCUUUGUAAGUGCAAGUGAGUGAAUUUAUGUGGUCAUUUCAACCCAAUUUAAACCCUCGUUCUAAAGAACAAAGACAUUUUCUUUGCCCCGAAGAUUGACAUUUGCUUACAGGCACUAGGCACUUCCUGUGACCCUGGGUCCCAUUCUGCUGGUGCUGUCGGAGAGGUCAAAGGGAAGGCAGCACAUUGGUGCACAUGGGAGGUGCUCAGAAUCUGUGCGUAUCAGCACAGAGGCAGGCUGAAGCCUGCUUAGAUAUUUAUCAGGGGCUUUAUGGUGUGUCCAUUCCAAAAGUGAGCAGUGGGAACCUCUGAGGUCCCUUAGUUCUCAGUAAACGGUCAGUGUUGAAACCUGCUCCCCUGCUCCUUCUGAUCUCUCUCUCCUGUCCUUUUCCUUCUGCCUUCUCACUUUCCCUGCCAGCAAGCAGCGCCGGCAACUUCACAUCUGACUUCUGGAAGGGAAUGAAAGACUUUCUUUCUGUAUAGAGAGGUUUCUUUUACACAGAGCUGUCUUUGAUGGGGGAGACGUCCCCACAACAGAUUUAGAACGUGAAGUAUUGGCACCGAGCCAGAGAGGACAGCCAUCAAUUGUAGUUUGAACGAGGUUUCAUCACGUCUUUGUCCUGUCAUCUCGUUUUUGGCGGGGAAUAGUGGGUGUUCUGUUAAACCGAGAGCGGCUUUGGUCAGUGCGAUUGUAAUACUUUAAAUUCGAGACACCACGUUGACAUCCACUACUCUAAGGUAUUUGGGUGCUUAACAAAAUGUUCUAAAGAGUAGGAAUAAUGAUUCCAAACUGAUGCUAAGGAAUGCUUUGAAUUUAUACAGAACUAGAGUUUUACAAGUGGCAAGCUAUCUUGCCAACAUUUUCUUUGUCUAAACUUUGAGAAAGACAAUAAGUGAUAGGAUUUCUGGAAAAUGAGAAUGAUCUUUCUUGGCAGUUUUUAGAUUUCUGGUUGAAAAAAAGGUGAUCUGAAGAAAAUCUAACAGAACGUAAUGUGUUCAUUUUGGGUGGCAGGUAUAAGGAUGUUUGUGUAUUGAUCUCUACUAUUUUUGAAGGUUUUUCAAAAGAAGGGAAAAAAGAUAAGGAGAAGAGAAAGGACAGAAGCAAGCAAAUGAUGGAAGCAUGGGCCCAUAAUAGUGCUUUCUGAUGCAAAAAGGCCUGUGUAGGAAUUUGGUACUGGGUAUGUGGCUUUGGCCAAGUCAACUUCUCUGCCUCGGGUUUUUUUUUUUUUUUUUUUUUUUUUCUUGGUAAGGAAGAUUGGUGCUGAGCUAACAUCUGUUGCCAAUCUUCCUCUUUUUGCUUGAGGAAGCUUGUCCCUGAGCUAACGUCCGUGCCAAUCUUCCUCUAUUUUGUAUAUGGGAUGCUGCCACAGCAUGGCCUGAAGAGCGGUGUGUAGGUCUGUGCCUGGGAUCCGAACCUGUGAACCCCGGGCCACCGAAGCAGAGUGUGCAAACUUAACCCCUAUGCCACUGGGCCAGCCCCUGCCUCGGUUUUUAUAAAAUGUCAUUUAUAAGUGGACAUGAUAGCCCUUUGUUAAGAGAUAAUAUCUCCUUAAGAGCCAAACACAGUGCCCAGUACAUAAAAGAUACCUCAACAAUCUUCUUUCCCUUUCGUUACCUCUUUAGUGUUGCAUUACGAAUCUUUAGCUGAAUUGAACGCAGACUCUCGUCUGCCUGGUCUUAAUAUCCGUCUUACUGAAUUGUUGUUUGCUUAUAUGCAGUAAUGUCACAGUGACCCCAGGAUCCCCUUGCUUUUGUUUCUUCUUACCACGAAAAGGUAUUAGGACAGAAAAGGUUAUUAUUAUUAUUUUUUAAUUUAACCAUAUUUAUGGAGGACCAACUCAGAGCCAGGCUGUAUUCUGGGAGCUAAAAGGUACAAUGGGAAUAAGACGGACCAAGUCACUGCUCCCAUGGAGUUUCAGGGGAGGCAGAUUAUCAAGAACAAGUGUCAGGGGACAAUAAUGGCAUGAAGAAGAGUAAAGUGGCGUCGAGGGAUGCGGUGUAUCUCUAUUAGAUAGAAUGGACCGCGAAUGCUUCUCUAAGGAGCCGCCAUCUUGAUGUCUGCACAGAGGCAGGGAGCGAGCCUGGUGGAAAUCUGGGGAGAGAGCAUUCCAGGCAGAGAGAACGAGGCAUGUGUUGAAGAACCACAAGAGGCUCAUGUGGGAAAGGCAGGCAAGAGCCAGGAAUGAGGCCGCAGGCCAAAUCACCUGCAGGAGGCCCUGGUUUGGAUUUUAUUUGGGUGCACUAGGAAGCCACAGUAAGUUGAACCACAAAACUGGCCGCUCUACUACUCUUAAGAGACUUGGUGAGGGAUGUUUUGCAGGGAAGAUGGAAAAUCACAGUGUGUCUGUUCCGUUGAUUACCAUUCCCAUCAUAGAAUAAUUAACUGCUAGCUGUAAUUAUAGGACUUCCUCUAAUUUAGUUUAGCACUCCUGGGACCUCUAUUAGCCUAUAUCCCAAUCAAUUUCACAGUCAUUAAGAGGGAACGUGCCACAGUCCUGUUGAAUUUUAAAUCUCGUGGGAGAACCAUCCACCUAUUUGUUUUCGCUCCUCUAGACUGCCUUAUUUUCUUUCAGUUCAUAAGGUUUACCCCCCUCUGUUCAGGCCCUCUCCUCUGGCAUGCUGAUUCAGGCUUGUAGCAUGGAGUUAUGCUAAUUAGGAUAUUCUUUCACAGAUAGUUGUUAAUGAAUUCCAUGCAUCUCACGUCCUUUUUGUAACCUCUCAAAUUCGUAUAACAAAAAGUUUCAGCGGACAGCCAAGGGACCGCCAAGGGAUCACUGUCCCCUCCGCAAGAUAGGUGUUUCAAUGUUUAUUCUCACGUCUGGCACCUCUUACUAGCCUCAUAUCCUCUAUGUAAGUUCCUUUAUGCAGAGAAACGUGACCACAUCUGUUUUCUCAGUUGGGUUGAACAAUAAGUUCCCCUGUCACAGAAAUCACAGAGAAGGUCUUCCUUUUUGCCUCUUUGACAUAUCGGGUGACUUGCUGUGUUUAGAUAACCCCGGCCUCCCAGGGUUCCUCUUGUCCAAUUUUCUCCGCUGCUCUUGUGGUGAAAGCCAUCCUUGCUGUCACAUCACAUCACUGCAGGGGUGUGCGCUCCCGGUCCCCAGUGGAUGGCUUCUCUGUGGAGGCAAACGGUGAUCUUAGUGCUGGUUGUGAGUUCACUAGAAGUAGCCCCUUGAGAAGCAGGGGCUUCUCCAGACAGCUCAGUCUUAUUCGUUAUGAAAUAGUGUCUUUAGCUUGCGGGGAGGAACUAGCAUCCCUCCAUACCAUAGAAGAAACCAAGAUUUACGGUCACAGGAGUGAGGGAAUGGCUGGCCAGUGCUGGCAGCCAAGUCAUCAUAAACAUGAACCCUGUAUCUACUUGUGUGUUCUGGCAAGCCCGUGUGUGUAUGUGUGUGUGUAAAAGGAUAGAUUUUAUUUUUUAGAAUAGUUUUAGAUUCAAAGCAAAACUGAGCAGAAAGCACAGAGAGUUCCCACAUACUCCUUGGCCCCCUACCCCUCCAAACCCCCAUCCUCUCCCACCAUCAGCUUGCCCCCUACCCCCCCAGAGUGGUACAAUCCAUGAACCCACGUUGACACAUCAUUAUCGCCCAGAGUCUACUUUACAUUAGGGUUCACUCUUUGUGUUGUACAUUCUGUGAGUUUUGACAAAUGUAUAAUGACAUGUAUUCAGCAGUAUAGUCUCAUACAGAAUAGUUUCAUGGCUCUGAAAAUCCUCUGUGCUCCACGUAAUUAUCCUUCCCUCUGCCCCAACCCCUUGGCAGCCACUGAUCUUUUUACUGUCUCUGUAGCUUUGCCUUUUCCAGAAUGUCAUAUAGUUGGAAUCAUACAGUACGUAGCCUUUUUAGGUUGGCUUCUUUCACUUAGUAAUAUGCAUUUAAAGUUCUUGUAUGCCUUUUCAUGAUUUGAUACCUCGUUUCUUUUUAGUGCUGAAUAAUAUCCCAUUGUAUGAUGC
RNAcentral lists this long non-coding RNA (22788 nucleotides) under Equus caballus (horse). RNAcentral's name for it is "lncRNA (ENSECAG00000055063.1)". The record is from RNAcentral. Lineage: Eukaryota; Metazoa; Chordata; Mammalia; Perissodactyla; Equidae.